RNAcentral lists this small nuclear RNA (83 nucleotides) under Tupaia belangeri (northern tree shrew). RNAcentral describes it as "U4 spliceosomal RNA (ENSTBEG00000020393.1)". It matches the Rfam family "U4 spliceosomal RNA", at positions 1 to 83 of the family's 138-position model. Rfam says of the family: U4 small nuclear RNA (U4 snRNA) is a component of the major U2-dependent spliceosome. The structure of U4 snRNA from yeast and human has been reported. Lineage: Eukaryota; Metazoa; Chordata; Mammalia; Scandentia; Tupaiidae. The record is from RNAcentral.
AGCUUUGCGCAGUGGCAGUAUCAUAGCCAAUGAGGUUUAUCCGAGGCGCGAUUAUUGCUAAUUGAAAAACCUUAAUAAAUGGC